This 330-nucleotide ribosomal RNA is filed under the name uncultured bacterium. RNAcentral describes it as "bacterial SSU rRNA". It matches the Rfam family "Bacterial small subunit ribosomal RNA", at positions 568 to 898 of the family's 1533-position model. The record is from RNAcentral.
UGUGUAGGCGGUCCUUUAAGUUUGGUGUGAAAUCUCCCGGCUCAACCGGGAGGGUGCGCCGAAUACUGAGGGACUCGAGUGCGGGAGAGGAAAGUGGAAUUCCUGGUGUAGCGGUGAAAUGCGUAGAUAUCAGGAGGAACACCGGUGGUGUAGACGGCUUUCUGGACCGUAACUGACGCUGAGACACGAAAGCGUGGGUAGCAAACAGGAUUAGAUACCCUGGUAGUCCACGCCCUAAACGAUGCAUAUUUGGUGUGGGUCAUUCAGUUGAUCCGUGCCGGAGCUAACGCGUUAAAUAUGCCGCCUGGGGAGUACAGUCGCAAGGCUGAA